RNAcentral lists this ribosomal RNA (498 nucleotides) under uncultured bacterium. RNAcentral describes it as "partial 16S ribosomal RNA". It matches the Rfam family "Bacterial small subunit ribosomal RNA", at positions 30 to 523 of the family's 1533-position model. The record is from RNAcentral.
AUUGAACGCUGGCGGCAGGCCUAACACAUGCAAGUCGAGCGGUUGAGGUAGCUUGCUACCGAUACAGCGGCGGACGGGUGAGUAAUACAUGGGAAUCUGCCUGGUAGUGGGGGACAACGUUUCGAAAGGAACGCUAAUACCGCAUACGCCCUACGGGGGAAAGGGGGGGAUCUUCGGACCUCUCGCUAUCAGAUGAGCCCAUGUCAGAUUAGCUUGUUGGUGAGGUAAAGGCUCACCAAGGCGACGAUCUGUAACUGGUCUGAGAGGAUGAUCAGUCACACUGGAACCGAGACACGGUCCAGACUCCUACGGGAGGCAGCAGUGGGGAAUAUUGGACAAUGGGCGCAAGCCUGAUCCAGCCAUGCCGCGUGUGUGAAGAAGGCCUUAGGGUUGUAAGGCACUUUCAGUGGGGAGAAAGGCCUUUUACUUAAUACGUAAGAGGAUUGAUGUUACCCACAGAAGAAGCACCGGCUAACUCCGUGCCAGCCGCCGCGGUAA